Molecule: long non-coding RNA, 670 nt
Filed under: Phoenix dactylifera (date palm)
Lineage: Eukaryota; Viridiplantae; Streptophyta; Magnoliopsida; Arecales; Arecaceae
Description: long non-coding RNA (PDAC_LNC019690)
Source: RNAcentral
GGGCCGUGCCAACCCCGCUGCCUGUUCCCCUCUUCAUUACACGGGCCCAACUGCAACCACAGGCCCACGGCAGCAUCCCCUUGGCAUCCAUUGCAGCCUUGCAAUAAUUUGGCUUCAGCAAUCAGCUCCACUGAGUCCCUUGUGCUGCAGAUCCAGACCCAUCGCUUCAGCUAGCUCCACCCGGUGCCGACUUCGUGUUCGAGACUCCACAACGGAUGCUUCUGGUUGACUGCAUCCACCACAGGUAACAGGUUCUUCCUCCUUUUGGGCUUGUCUAUCUAAUUGUGUUCUAGUUCUCUUGCAUGACAACCAUAAUUGAAAACUUACUUUCCUGUCAUAUUUUGAAAUCCUGAACAUAUAUUACCACACCCGUCCUAUUCACCCUCUAAAUCUAGAUAUUAAAUUAGCACACCCUAGCGGCAGGAUAGUUCUCAACAUUCCUAGAUCAGAUUACUUUCGGACUUUGAACGACUGUAAUACGUGUUUGCAACCUAAUUUCUUAUAGUGACUAAUUUCCUGCCUUAAUUCUGAAAUAACCAAAGUGCAAAUUAGUAAUAUUUAAUUUUAAGUUAUUUUUGUGAAAAUUUGCUGAUUUCCGAAUUCAUAGUAGAUUGCAUUAGUAGGUUGUCCUGCAUUGCAUUUAGUAAGUUAGGGUUCAUUAGUAGCAUUG